CACGUAGGGGGCAAGCGUUGUCCGGAUUUAUUGGGCGUAAAGAGCUCGUAGGCGGCUCAGUAAGUCGGGUGUGAAACCUCCAGGCUCAACCUGGAGACGCCACCCGAUACUGCUGUGGCUUGAGUCCGGUAGGGGAGCGUGGAAUUCCUGGUGUAGCGGUGAAAUGCGCAGAUAUCAGGAGGAACACCAGCGGCGAAGGCGGCGCUCUGGGCCGGAACUGACGCUGAGGAGCGAAAGCGUGGGUAGCAAACAGG
This 254-nucleotide ribosomal RNA is filed under the name uncultured bacterium. Its description in RNAcentral is "partial 16S ribosomal RNA". It matches the Rfam family "Bacterial small subunit ribosomal RNA", at positions 524 to 776 of the family's 1533-position model. The record is from RNAcentral.